AGAAGUGUGAUGAAAAGGUAGACAUAAUAAUGUUAGAUAUUAUUUAUAUGGGUUCAAUUCCCAUCAUUUCUA
RNAcentral lists this transfer RNA (72 nucleotides) under Sphaerothecum destruens. Its description in RNAcentral is "tRNA-Leu". It matches the Rfam family "tRNA". Rfam says of the family: Transfer RNA (tRNA) molecules are approximately 80 nucleotides in length. Lineage: Eukaryota; Ichthyosporea; Dermocystida. The record is from RNAcentral.